ACUACGGGUGGCAGCAGUGGGGACUAUUUGGCAAUGGGCGCAAGCCUGACCCAGCAACGCCGCGUGAAGGAAGAAGGCUUUCGUGUUGUAAACUUCUUUUGUCAGGGAAGAGUAGAAGACGGUACCUGACGAAUAAUACACGGCUAACUACGUGCAAGCAGCCGCGGUAAUACGUAGGGGGCACGCGUUGUUCGGAUUUACUGGGUGUAAAGGUAUUGUAGCCGUGUUGACAAGUCAGAUGUGAAAUCCUGCGGCUUAACCGCAGAACUGCAUUUGAAACGGUUUAUCUUGAGUACUGGGGAGGCAGCCGGAAUUACUAGUGUAGCGGUGAAAUGCGUCGAUAUUAGGAGGAACACCAGUGGCGAAGGCGGUCUGCUGGACAGCAACUGACGGUGAGGCGCGAAAGCGUGGGGAGCAAACAGGAUUAGAUACCCGUGUAGUC
This 442-nucleotide ribosomal RNA is filed under the name uncultured bacterium. RNAcentral's name for it is "partial 16S ribosomal RNA". It matches the Rfam family "Bacterial small subunit ribosomal RNA", at positions 338 to 795 of the family's 1533-position model. The record is from RNAcentral.